CAGCCUCCUAGGCCCCACUACGAGCCGGAUUUUGAAGGAAGAGGACGCCGUCCCGGCUCCAGAGGCGCUCUGUCCGCAGGGGCGAGGCACCGCGUAGGCAGUUCGUGGCCCUCUAGUGGGGGACCUCGGCCCAGACCCCAGGCCCCCGCCCGGGAGGCGCGUCAGAGGAGCAAGAGGCCCAGGUCGCAAGGGGCGGCCGCCGGACCGGAACCGCACCGGGUGAUCGGCUGGGGCAGGCGAGGCCGAGGGUCCGGCCCUGCCCGACGCCGUCCCCGCCCCUCCCCGCCCGCCGCCACCGCCGUCGCCGCCGUCGGGUCGGUGCCGAGCAGUCCGCCUGGGGCGGGAGGCGAGAGGCAAGAGGCGAGAGGCCAGGCCCCAGGCCCGGGCUGCCCCUCAGCCGCAUCGCCCUGGGCGUGUGCCCAGGUCCAAGUCGCCUUCCGCCCGGCCGGCCACCCUCCCCCUCCCCGCCCGCGGCCCCAGCCAGGUCCCGCCGCCAGGCAGGCUCCCGCCCCCGCUCCGCCCCCGGAGCCGCAGCCCCGCCCGCCACCGCCGUCGCCAUGUUGUGGCUCCCACAGCCGGCGCUGGGGACGCGCGCGGCCGAGCCCGGGGCUUGCAGCCGCCGCCGCCGCCAGGGUCUGUUGGGUGCAUCUGUUGGUGUGUACAGUGUGGCUGAGGUUACAGAACCUGGACAGAUGGAUGCCUGACCUGGAAGGUGUGUGGUGGGUUUUCAGGGGUCUGUUGCCUCAUCCCAAGUACAUUAUGCAGUGAAAGAGAAGAGGAAGCAAGGUGCUAGCACACAGAUUUUGACCGUUUUCCAGUUGUUCCACUGGUUAUGGCUUUGAUUCAUUCAGUAAAAUUUUACUGAGCACUUAUUAUGUGCCAGCCACUGCACUAGGUGCUGGGAAUAUAGGGGUAAACCAGAAAGACAUGUUUUACCUUGAGUUCAUAGACUCAAUAAUAAACAAAUCUUGAAACAUCACUCAACAACAGGUAUUUUUGUCAACAAAUAUGUGCUAGGCAUUGUUUUAGAUGCUGUGAAGAAAACAAAGCAAAAAUAACUGUCCUUGUCGAGCUUUAAUGUGGGGGGUUGUACAGACAAUAAAAUAAAAUAUAAAAUAAAAAUAUAUGCUGUUAAUAAGUGCUAAUGAGAAAAAGAAAACAGGUUAUUGGGUUAUUGGGUAGAGACUGAAUUUAUAUUUGGGUGGUCUGGAAAGGGCUCCUGAGAAGUUGUCUUUUGAAUAAAAUGUUGAAGGAAGUGGUGAACUGAUCAUUUCAAACUGAUGAGUACAAGGAGAGAAAGGUGAAGAGCUUAGUGAGAAAUAAUGGGCCUUGAUUUGGGUUGGGGGCUCAGGGACGGUGUCCCUUGAGGAAGUGACAUUUAGGCUGAGACCUGAAGGAGGGGUGAGAGUUAACCAUGUGUGGAGCAGCACGGAGCUUGGUAAGUUGGAGGAAGUGAAAGAGGCCUGUGUGACUGGAGAGGAGAUAAGUUUCUAGAGAGGUGUGUCAGUUCACUGGGGGCCUCUGGGACAGAAUGCCUUUCCCUCCAGAGUUUGGAUUUACCCCCAGUGUAAUUAGGAGCCUUUGAAGGGUUUUAACUGAGUGACAUAAUGAUAUUUAUAUUUACAUUUUAAAAGGACUCUGGUCUGGACACAGAUAAGCAGGUAAGGGUUGAGUGGCCUCACUACUUGAUCUGCUUGGAAAAGCCUCAAGCAGUCCGGGGGGGAGGAGGAUCUUUUCUCUUAGAGAGAUGAUUUUGCCCAGCUUUUAGGAAGGGAAAGAAAAGUGAAUUAACAUUUAUGGAGUGCCUGUUAGGUGGGAGAAUCAAUUUUAGAGACUUUUACAAACAUUAUCAUAUUUAACUUAAUCUUCUCUGCACUCUAAGAGGAGUUGUCCUGCCCCCUUUACAUACAAGCUCAGAGGAGUUAGAUGACUUAUCCAAAGCUACAUUUGUAACACAAUCUGUAUUCAAACCCAGAUCUUCCUGAUUCCGGAGCCCUCUGGCUCUGGAGCCAGACUACUGAGUUUGUGUCUUGCUUCUGCCACUUACUAACUGAAUGAUUUUGACUUAUUUAACCCUUCUGGUGCCUCAGUUUCCUGUCUGGAAAAGUCUCAAGCUUUUCUCAGCUUCAAUGCAGAUAAAAGUACCUACCUCCUAGGGUUGUUCUGAUUAAAUUAACUUUUAGUACAACAUGUUAGUUGCUUUUACUAAAAAUUUUUAAACAACCACAUUGCCUCCCAGCCCUGUUGUCAUUGUGGGUGAGAUUAACUAUAGGGAGAAUUCAGUUCUUGAAUAUUGUGAGACUCUGUUUUCCUUUAAAUAACUUAAUGCCAAUGUUCCAUGUGCUCAGUCCUUCAACACUGAGCUCUUGUGUCAGUCUUGACCCUGCACUGGGGCUUAUGGAUACAAUGUGCGUUCCUUCCCUCAAGCUCAGUGUAUCUAGGGGAGGUCAGAUAAUUAAAAUGAGCUACAAUGUACUUAACAAAUUCUCAAAAAUCCCUGUAUUUAGAGAGCUACAGUUAAGACGGGUAAGAACUAAAUGCCCAAGGAGAAGUAGGGAAGGCUUUAGGGCCAGGGUGACUUCUGAACUGGGCUUUGGAGGAAGAACAGUGUUACCACCAUGUUAAGACUGGGCAAAGGACAUUCUAUGUAGAGGGAGUUAUACGUGAAAGCACGGAGCCGUGAGAGGCUUGGUUUGUCCAGGGAUGAGGCUGGUAAGCCGAGCUGGGCUUGUGAAAGGCAGGUCAGGUUUGAAUUUAAUUCCAUAAGGCACAGGGACCUAUCAGAGACUAUUGGAUACAUCAGAUCCGUACCAUGAUGGGUGCUGCUGAUAGAGAGUGGAUACAGUUGUCAUCCUGGGAGGUGACUUUAUUUUGGUGCUAUCUUAGGGCUUCAGUAUGUGAAGUUUCAGAAACCUGAAACUCAGGUGGUUGUUUUUUUUCUUUUAAUAUGAUUUUUAUUUUGUUACUGGCUGUGUUUCAUUUUUGUUGCUGCUCAGGCUUUUCUCUCAUUGUGGCGAGUGGUGGCUAACUCUCUAGUUGUGGUGUGCGGGCUUCUCAUGGCAGUGGCUUCUCUUGUUGCUGAGCUUGGGCUCUAGGGCGUGCGGGCUUCAGUAAUUGUAGCACAUGGGCUCAGUAGUUGUGGCUCCUGGCCUCUAGAGCACAGGUUCAAUAGCUGUGGUGCACAGACUUCAGUUGCACCACAUCCACAGCAUGUGGGCUCUUCCGGGACCAGGGAUCAAACCUGUUGUCUCCUGCAUUGACUGGUGGAUUCUUCACCACUGAGCCACCAGGGAAGCCCUGAAAUUCAGUUUUGUAGGCCACGUAGAGCUGAUUGAGAUCCAGGGAGACUGACUAACCAAACUUGGAAGAGACUGAUGCAAAAAAUCAGGGUAUUAACUAGCCUUGAAAAAUGAAACUGCAGAAUGACAGAUGUUUCUGUCCUCUGGUCAUGGCCCUCCCCACCCCCACCCCCUAACUUCUGGGCAGGGCUCGGACAUACUAACAAAUUCUUGCUCCUCGAUUCCCAUUUGUUUAUCUCAGGUUCCAUGAAUACUAACCUUUUUUUGUUAACGUAACCUUGCCCUAAAGCUCUAUACAGUGUAGUUAACAAUGUUUAUUAGUUGAUGGAAUGAAUAAUUCUGUAUCAUUUGAAUGGGAUCCUGUGUUUGUGAAACUUAAGGAAAAGGAGGAAUAACUUUUUUAGAAGUAAAGUAUUGCAAAAGGGGCUCCUUAGGAUUGGGUUACUGGGGAAGGUAUGCAGAUACCAAGUGGUAUGGGUAAUUUUGUGGCCAAGGGAUGGUUGUGGACGGGUACCUUGGAAGUUGCUCCGAGAGCAGAGGUCUGUGAACUCUUGAAAGAGGUUGGGUGGGGGUGGGUUGGAGUUGCACCUGAAGGAGAGUUUGGUUUAGGAUUUUCAUCUUGCCUACACAUGGGGGACAGAAAAGAAGGUACUAAUUCUUGCCUUCUACUCAGCCUGGUCAUGGUGAGCCUUCCUAUUGCAUGGGAAUCUUCAUGUGGUUUGAGCUUCAUCUUAACACUUCUGCUUCUGCAAAACUGGAAAGAGUGGUGGACCCCCUAGAGUUCUGAAUCUGUAUUUUUCUACAGUGGAAAACAAAAUCCAAAUAGACCAACCUAGAUUAUGGAUUAAUUAUUUUUCUUUUAAAACUCUAAAGGACAUUCAUGUAGAAAAUUUAGGCAAUACAGAUAGGUAUUAAAUUUGUAUUUAAUACAAAUUAAAUAAAAAUGAUAAACCCUAUAACCUAGAUCUACUGUUAGCAUUUUAAUAUUUAGUGUUUUUAUUAGAUCUUUUUCUCCAGCUCUAUCUUUCUGUGUAAGUGGUUUUAACUUUUUUCUUUUCCUACAAAAAUAGGAGCAUCCCAAAUAGGAGAGCGUUCAAGUGUCGAUGUCU
RNAcentral lists this long non-coding RNA (4408 nucleotides) under Cervus hanglu yarkandensis (Yarkand deer). RNAcentral's name for it is "lncRNA (ENSCHYG00000020570.1)". The record is from RNAcentral. Lineage: Eukaryota; Metazoa; Chordata; Mammalia; Artiodactyla; Cervidae.